CAGGAGAGGAGCAAAGUCAAACACAGCUCUUGGCUACACAGCUCAGAUCAAAAAGCUGACCCGUUUGGUUACAUGCACACAGCCAGGCAUGGCAGCAACGGAUGGCUGCAUUUUCCCUUGCCUUGUCUUGGAAUGAAGGCCAGGCAACAUUUAAAGGGCUAAAGGAGAAUCAAGAGACCCUUGAUUUCCUUUUUCUUCUUGUUCUAGGGACAUGAAGUGCUAAUUGUUCAGACAUGCAACGCACACACACAGAGGCAUCAUGGUGAUAUGAUUGCAAAGCCCGGUAACGUCAGCAUCCCAGAGACCCUCCUCCGACUCGGAUUAGAGAGAAGAGGCUCACCAGCACAAGCAGCAGGUACUGGAGGAGGCAGCGGAGCCACUCACCAGGGGACCCUGGGAGUGGGGGAAUAGCAAUGUCAGAAACUUCUUCAUUGUUUGUGAAAUCUCAGUCAAUGAAGAGCCUGAACUCCGACACCAAGGCAGGCACUAAUUAACAACUGCAACACUUCUGCUCCUGCACGGAAAGCAAGUGCUGUGCCAGUGGAACAGCGGCCGUCCCUCAAGUCCUCCAAAGGCUGUGAACAGCCAGACAGGAACAAAGCUCCCCCUCUGCCUCCCUGUUCCUGCCAGCCCCAGAA
RNAcentral lists this long non-coding RNA (638 nucleotides) under Lepidothrix coronata (blue-crowned manakin). Its description in RNAcentral is "lncRNA (ENSLCOG00000013739.1)". The record is from RNAcentral. Lineage: Eukaryota; Metazoa; Chordata; Aves; Passeriformes; Pipridae.